This 253-nucleotide ribosomal RNA is filed under the name uncultured bacterium. Its description in RNAcentral is "partial 16S ribosomal RNA". It matches the Rfam family "Bacterial small subunit ribosomal RNA", at positions 524 to 776 of the family's 1533-position model. The record is from RNAcentral.
UACGGAGGGGGCUAGCGUUGUUCGGAAUUACUGGGCGUAAAGCGCACGUAGGCGGCUUUGUAAGUUAGAGGUGAAAGCCCGGGGCUCAACCCCGGAAUUGCCUUUAAGACUGCAUCGCUAGAAUUGUGGAGAGGUGAGUGGAAUUCCGAGUGUAGAGGUGAAAUUCGUAGAUAUCAGGAGGAACACCGAUGGCGAAGGCAGGUCUCUGGGCUGACACUGACGCUCAUGCACGAAAGCGUGGGGAGCAAACAGG